This is a non-coding RNA of Triticum aestivum (bread wheat), 135 nucleotides long. The record is from Rfam. Lineage: Eukaryota; Viridiplantae; Streptophyta; Magnoliopsida; Poales; Poaceae.
UAUGUACUCCCUCCGUCCGGAAAUACUUGUCAUCAAAAUGGAUAAAAGGGGAUGCAUCUAGAUGUAUUUUAGUUCUAGAUACAUCUCUUUUUAUCCAUUUUGAUGACAAGUAUUUUCGGACGGAGGGAGUACAAG